AACGAACGCUGGCGGCGUGGCUAAGGCAUGCAAGUCGUACGGGAACAGAUUUGUAGCAAUACAGAACUGUUUUAGUGGCGGACGGGUGAGUAAUGCAUGGGUAACGUACCUUUAGCUCCGGGAUAGCGUCGAGCCCGCAAGGGUUCUUUGCGAAAGUGACGGUAAUCCCGGAUGACAUCGCGGGGUGGCAUCUUCCUGCGAUCAAAGGUGGGGACCGCAAGGCCUACUGGCAAUUGAGCGGCCCAUGUCCUAUCAGCUUGUUGGUGAGGUAACGGCUCACCAAGGCUUUGACGGGUAGCCGGCGUGAGAGCGCGACCGGCCACAUCGGGACUGAGACACUGCCCGGACACCUACGGGUGGCUGCAGCAACGAAUAUUCCGCAAUGGGCGCAAGCCUGACGGAGCGACGCCGCGUGAAGGAUGAAGUCCUUCGGGAUGUAAACUUCAAUAGUUUGUCAGAAAAUGCCCCGACCUAACACGUCGGGGAGUUGAUCAGCAAACGAAAGGGACGGCUAACUCCGUGCCAGCAGCCGCGGUAAGACGGAGGUCCCGAGCGUUGUUCGGAAUUAUUGCGCUUAAAGCGCGUGUAGGCGGAGCGGUCAGUACCUUGUGAAAUCCCCGGACUCAAUCCGGGAACUGCUUGGUAUACUGCCGUUCUCGAGGCAGGUAGGGGUCACUGGAACCUUAGGUGGAGCGGUGAAAUGCGUAGAUAUCUAAGGAAACGCCUGUGGCGAAAGCGGGUGACUGGGCCUGUCCUGACGCUGAGACGCGAAAGCGUAGGGAGCAAACGGGAUUAGAUACCCCGGUAGUCUACGCCGUAAACGAUGCGCACUAGGUUCGAAGGUCUCUGACGAUCCUCGAGCCGAAACAAAAGCGAUAAGUGCGCCGCCUGGGGAGUACGGCCGCAAGGCUAAAACUCAAAGGAAUUGACGGGGGCUCACACAAGCGGUGGAGCAUGUGGAUCAAUUCGAAGCAACGCGAAGAACCUUACCUGGGUUUGACAUGCACGGAUGCCGUCCAUGAAAGUGGAGCCGGCUGCCUUCGGGUGAAACGUGUACAGGUGCUGCAUGGCUGUCGUCAGCUCGUGCUGUGAAGUGUCGGGCUAAGUCCCUUAACGAGCGAAACCCUUAUCGCUAGUUGCCAGCGGGUCAUGCCGGGAACUCUAGUGAGACUGCCGGCGUCAAGCCGGAGGAAGGCGGGGACGACGUCAAGUCAUCAUGGCCUUUAUGCCCAGGGUGUCACACGUGCUACAAUGGGGUGAACAGAGCGACGCAAGACCGUAAGGUGGAGCAAAUCGCAGAAAACACCCCUCAGUUCGGAUUGAGGUCUGCAACCCGACCUCAUGAAGCUGGAAUCGCUAGUAAUCGCGUAUCAGCCAUGACGCGGUGAAUAUGUUCCUGAGCCUUGUACACACC
Molecule: ribosomal RNA, 1414 nt
Filed under: uncultured bacterium
Lineage: Bacteria
Description: bacterial SSU rRNA
Rfam family: Bacterial small subunit ribosomal RNA
Source: RNAcentral